RNAcentral lists this ribosomal RNA (302 nucleotides) under uncultured bacterium. RNAcentral describes it as "partial 16S ribosomal RNA". It matches the Rfam family "Bacterial small subunit ribosomal RNA", at positions 508 to 809 of the family's 1533-position model. The record is from RNAcentral.
GCAGCAGCCGCGGGAAUACAGAGGGUGCGAGCGUUAAUCGGAUUUACUGGGCGUAAAGCGUGCGUAGGCGGCUUCUUAAGUCGGAUGUGAAAUCCCUGAGCUUAACUUAGGAAUUGCAUUCGAUACUGGGAAGCUAGAGUAUGGGAGAGGAUGGUAGAAUUCCAGGUGUAGCGGUGAAAUGCGUAGAGAUCUGGAGGAAUACCGAUGGCGAAGGCAGCCAUCUGGCCUAAUACUGACGCUGAGGUACGAAAGCAUGGGGAGCAAACAGGAUUAGAUACCCCUGUAGUCCCUGUCUCUUAUAA